UACGUAGGGUGCGAGCGUUAAUCGGAAUUACUGGGCGUAAAGCGUGCGCAGGCGGUUGUGCAAGACAGAUGUGAAAUCCCCGGGCUCAACCUGGGAACUGCAUUUGUGACUGCACGGCUGGAGUGCGGCAGAGGGGGAUGGAAUUCCGCGUGUAGCAGUGAAAUGCGUAGAUAUGCGGAGGAACACCGAUGGCGAAGGCAAUCCCCUGGGCCUGCACUGACGCUCAUGCACGGAAGCGUGGGGAGCAAACAGG
This 253-nucleotide ribosomal RNA is filed under the name uncultured bacterium. Its description in RNAcentral is "partial 16S ribosomal RNA". It matches the Rfam family "Bacterial small subunit ribosomal RNA", at positions 524 to 776 of the family's 1533-position model. The record is from RNAcentral.